AGUGAACGCUGGCGGUAGGCCUAACCCAUGCAAGUCGAACGGCAGCACAGUAAGAGCUUGCUCUUACGGGUGGCGAGUGGCGGACUGGUGAGUAAUACAUCUGAAUCUACUUUUUCGUGGGGUAUAACGUAGGGAAACUUACGCUAAUACCGCAUUCGACCUACGGGUGAAAGCAUGGGAUCUUCCGACCUUGCGCGAUUGAAUGAGCCGAUGUCGGAUUAGAUAGUUGGCGGGGUAAUGGCCCACCAAGGCGACGAUCCGUAGCUGGUCUGAGAGGAUGAUCAGCCACACUGGAACUGAGACACGGUCAAGAAUCCUACGGGAGGCAGCAGUGGGGAAUAGUGGACAAUGGGCGCAAGCCUGAUCCAGCCAUACCGCGUGGGUGAAGAAGGCCUUCGGGUUGUAAAGACCUUUUGUUGGGAAAGAAAAGCAGAAGGUUAAUACCCCGCUGUUCUGACGGUACCCAAAGAAUAAGCACCGGCUAACUUCGUG
Molecule: ribosomal RNA, 492 nt
Filed under: uncultured bacterium
Lineage: Bacteria
Description: partial 16S ribosomal RNA
Rfam family: Bacterial small subunit ribosomal RNA
Source: RNAcentral